GAUGAAGAACUCAGCGAAAUGCGAUAAGUAAUGUGAAUUGCAGAAUUCAGUGAAUCAUCGAGUCUUUGAACGCACAUUGCGCCCCCUGGUAUUCCGGGGGGCAUGCCUGUCCGAGCGUCAUUGCUGCCCUCAAGCACGGCUUGUGUGUUGGGCCCCCGUCCCCGGUUUCCCCCGGGGACGGGCCCGAAAGGCAGCGGCGGCACCGCGUCCGGUCCUCGAGCGUAUGGGGCUUUGUCACCCGCUCUGUAGGCCCGGCCGGCGCCAGCCGACACCCAACUUUAUUUCUAAGGUUGACCUCGGAUCAGGUAGGGAUACCCGCUGAACUUAAGCAUAUCAAUAAGCGGAGGA
RNAcentral lists this unclassified non-coding RNA (348 nucleotides) under soil metagenome. RNAcentral's name for it is "partial contains 5.8S ribosomal RNA, internal transcribed spacer 2, and large subunit ribosomal RNA". The stretch from base 1 to 120 matches the Rfam family "5.8S ribosomal RNA", at positions 35 to 154 of the family's 154-position model. The record is from RNAcentral.